AAAAAUAAUUUGGAAAUAAAAACAUGCAUACACUGGCUGAUUCUUGUUGGUUAGAUUAACCUGACUCCAGAUUGCUUCCAGUAUGGCACUUGAUCUCUUUCUGAAGCAAUCACAUCUCUCAAGUUUGUAACCACAACAUGGAACAAGGGUGGCAUAGAACAGCAAGAAUUACACCACAGCAAGAGUUAGCUGUAAAAAAUGGCCAUGACAUUAUUAGUCACAGCUUAUACAGUUUGAUGUGGUACAGGAGAAACAGAGAUCUAGACAUGACAUAGCUGAGAUGCUAAUAACAACCACUCAGUCAGCAUAUUGUGAAAUAAAAGCUGGUGGGCUCAAUUCAGGCUCACCACAGAUUCUGUAAGAGUACGGGCGCUAAUCAUCAACAUGUACAUGCAGCAAGCAUGACAGACUGCGGACUGGAGAAGACGCCACUUUAAAACCCUAGGAAGUUCCCCCAAUAGGGAAGCCAAUCCUGCUAUGGAACUAGCCCAAUGCUUCUAGCAAUGUAACAGUUGGGCAGAAGAGUGUGUCUACCUCCCUGCCAAACUACUGCAGCUGCAAUCAAUUUAACAAGGCAGUACAGAUAUGCCCCAGCCAGAUCUCAUUGCCUUCCUCUAACAGGUUAAUACAACUAGAUCUGAAUGCCUCUUUAGAAUAACUCUAAAGAUAACAUCCAGGCGCUGUUCCAGAUCUUGGGAAAAUUUUUAAUGUUGGGGACUCCUAGCUCAUAUGGAACUCCUUGCUCAUGCAGCCAAUAUCUGACUUAACUCCAUAAGAAACAAUAAAGAUGUGCAUGGAUUUGUUUACUUUCAUCUUCUCUACAUCUACAUUGACACAAUCCAUGGCACUAAGCCAUAUCUGUCUUUCCAGAAGGUUAGAUGGCAAGAUAGCAACGCCCUGAAAAUACUGAAAGAGGAGCCAAUGAAAGUGCAGAAUUGGUGAGACUGGGGCUUUUCUGCUUGCCAAGGCUGUCAUGUUCUCACUUAACAAAGACAGUAGGCAUCUGCUUACUGAAAUUGCAUUGGAGUAAGGCCUUAUUAUUUUCCCACAGUAUUUCAACAGCUAUUUCUCUGUGGUCAACUAAGAAAGGCCUGCCUUCUUAAUGUCUUUAUUCACCCACAGCACAGACAAACAAAAUUGUCCAAGACUGAACAAACCUUCAUCGACAUGCACUGGAAACUUAGCAACCCAGAAUCUUCCCAGCCUGGUGGCAAGAGGCAGUUAGCCAAAUAGGUGAUGCCUUUAAUCAAUGAGUUAUCUCUUUGCCAUAUUCAUUCAGCAUGCAGAGGCCUGCUUUGAAAUGUAUGUGCCAGGAGAGGCAUUCAGUGCCUCAGCCACAUAAAGUAGCAGGUGGUGAUUCAAUUGCUCUUUCCCUGUCCAUACGGCGACUCAGCUGACAAUCAAAAAAAAUGAAGAGGCAUUAUUCUCAUUCAGGGCCUGAAUAUCUUAAAUGAACCAAGUCUUGCCUGAUCUUGGAGGCUAAGCAAAGUCAACUACUUUGAGGAGAGAUCACCAAUGAAUAUCAGGUACUGUGGACCCUGUUUUUAGAACUAAGAUCUGGCAAAAUUACCUCUGAGAAGCCCUUGCUUAACAAAACCCUAUGAAUUCAUGGGGUUGCUAUAGUUUGAUUGGCAAUGUGAAGCAGAUAUAUGCACACACAGAGAUUCUCCUUUCAUGACAGUAUGGUUGCUUAUGAAAUGAAGAAUGCGUGCCAACUGCUAAAACCCAGAAACUCAAUCAGUGGCUGAUACUGGAUGAAAAAUUCCCUUCUGGGCACAAAGAAGACUGGGCAACUUGGAAGGCACUGAACAGACUGUGUUCUGGUACCAUGAGAUGCAGAGCCAAUCUUAAGAAAUGGGCCUUUAAAGUGGAAUCUGCAACACGUGAGUGUGGAGAAGAGCAAACCACAGACCACUUACUGCAGUCUGAGCCCCACCACAUGCACAAUGGAGGACCUUCUUAUAGCAGCACCAGAGGCACUCAAAGUGGCCAGUUUCAGAUCAAAGGAAAUUUAGUAUAAUGUCAAGGUUUGUUUUUAACUGUUUGUGGUUUUUAACUUUAUUUGUGGUUUUUAUACAUUAUAACUGUAUCCUCAAUUCGCUUCUGACAAGAUAAAUAAAUAACAAAUUGCUGAAGGUACAUUUAUGUACUUAGACCAUCACAAUUAUGCCUUGUAGGUAGCUGUGAAAGCAGCCAAGGUUGCCUCAAUGAUAAUGAGAAAUGAAGACCUUAUCUCAAGCUGUAAAUGGGGAGAAAGAAUGCUGGAAAAUAUUUUCCAAAAUAUUUAGCCUCUGGUGCCCAAACUCCACACCUUGACAGUGGAAGGAGCUUCAAUGUGAUGGGUGCUAAUUAAAAAAUAGAAUAAAAAUGAAAUGUAAAUUGUGUCUAAAUCAAUAAAGGAUUAUGUUUCAGCCAA
Anolis carolinensis (green anole) is the source of this 2416-nucleotide long non-coding RNA. RefSeq lists it as uncharacterized. The record is from RefSeq and is a predicted model, not a curated record. The transcript has 2 exons. Lineage: Eukaryota; Metazoa; Chordata; Lepidosauria; Squamata; Anolidae.